UUGUACCUGAUACAAAUUACUAAUGGCUG
This 29-nucleotide non-coding RNA is filed under the name Rattus norvegicus (Norway rat). Lineage: Eukaryota; Metazoa; Chordata; Mammalia; Rodentia; Muridae. The record is from RNAcentral.